Molecule: transfer RNA, 55 nt
Filed under: Southwellina hispida
Lineage: Eukaryota; Metazoa; Acanthocephala; Palaeacanthocephala; Polymorphida; Polymorphidae
Description: tRNA-Ser
Source: RNAcentral
AAGAGCUAAAGAAGACUACUAAUCUUCGUAUACUAAUUAAUUUUAGUAGUUCUUU